GGAGGCGUAGCUCAGAGGGAGAGCGCCUGCCUUACAAGCAGGAGGUCAUAAGUUCAAGUCUUAUCGCCUCCACCA
This 75-nucleotide transfer RNA is filed under the name Clostridia bacterium. Its description in RNAcentral is "tRNA-Val". It matches the Rfam family "tRNA". From Rfam's summary of the family: Transfer RNA (tRNA) molecules are approximately 80 nucleotides in length. Their secondary structure includes four short double-helical elements and three loops (D, anti-codon, and T loops). Lineage: Bacteria; Bacillati; Bacillota; Clostridia. The record is from RNAcentral.